RNAcentral lists this ribosomal RNA (498 nucleotides) under uncultured bacterium. Its description in RNAcentral is "partial 16S ribosomal RNA". It matches the Rfam family "Bacterial small subunit ribosomal RNA", at positions 30 to 523 of the family's 1533-position model. The record is from RNAcentral.
AUUGAACGCUGGCGGCAUGCCUUACACAUGCAAGUCGAACGGUAACAGGUCUUCGGAUGCUGACGAGUGGCGAACGGGUGAGUAAUACAUCGGAACGUGCCUAGUAGUGGGGGAUAACUACUCGAAAGAGUGGCUAAUACCGCAUGAGAUCUACGGAUGAAAGCAGGGGAUCGCAAGACCUUGUGCUACUAGAGCGGCCGAUGGCAGAUUAGGUAGUUGGUGGGAUAAAAGCUUACCAAGCCGACGAUCUGUAGCUGGUCUGAGAGGACGAUCAGCCACACGGGGACUAGGACACGGCCCAGACUCCUACGGGAGGCAGCAGUGGGGAAUUUUGGACAAUGGGCGAAAGCCUGAUCCAGCAAUGCCGCGUGCAGGAUGAAGGCCUUCGGGUUGUAAACUGCUUUUGUACGGAACGAAAAGCCCUGGGUUAAUACCCUGGGGUCAUGACGGUACCGUAAGAAUAAGCACCGGCUAACUACGUGUCAGCAGCAGCCGUAA